Molecule: ribosomal RNA, 497 nt
Filed under: uncultured bacterium
Lineage: Bacteria
Description: partial 16S ribosomal RNA
Rfam family: Bacterial small subunit ribosomal RNA
Source: RNAcentral
GAUGAACGCUGGCGGCGUGCCUAAUACAUGCCAGUCGAGCGAACAGACGAGGAGCUUGCUCCUCUGACGUUAGCGGCGGACGGGUGAGUAACACGUGGAUAACCUACCUAUAAGACUGGGAUAACUUCGGGAAACCGGAGCUAAUACCGGAUAAUAUAUUGAACCGCAUGGUUCAAUAGUGAAAGACGGUUUUGCUGUCACUUAUAGAUGGAUCCGCGCCGCAUUAGCUAGUUGGUAAGGUAACGGCUUACCAAGGCAACGAUGCGUAGCCGACCUGAGAGGGUGAUCGGCCACACUGGAACUGAGACACGGUCCAGACUCCUACGGGAGGCAGCAGUAGAGAAUCUUCCGCAAUGGGCGAAAGCCUGACGGAGCAACGCCGCGUGAGUGAUGAAGGUCUUCGGAUCGUAAAACUCUGUUAUUAGGGAAGAACAAAUGUGUAAGUAACUAUGCACGUCUUGACGGUACCUAAUCAGAAAGCCACGGCUAACUACGUG